Molecule: long non-coding RNA, 297 nt
Organism: Artibeus jamaicensis (Jamaican fruit-eating bat)
Lineage: Eukaryota; Metazoa; Chordata; Mammalia; Chiroptera; Phyllostomidae
Exons: 3
Source: RefSeq, a predicted model, not a curated record
CGGCAGGCUUCUGCACGGUGCACUUCGUGGGUGAAAGAUGCACUCCGCCGGGGCUAAACUGGAACUAGAAAAAGGAAUCCAGCUACGGGAUUCCAAUGGGACUGCGGUUGGCGCGUGCGCACUAAUAUUGGCGCAGACUCAGUUUUUCCAGAUCUAUGAUUGUGCCUCCCGCUAUAUCAAGAACUCGUCAAAGACUAGAACUACGUGAUGGUCCCUGUGUCCCCAGCACCCAGCCACGGACCUCUGUCUCGCAAGAAAAGGAAAAUACCGAGAUAAAUAAAUGCUUUCUGUCUUCAA